AGGACGAACGCUGGCGGCGUGCUUAACACAUGCAAGUCGAGCGGAAAGGCCCUUCGGGGUACUCGAGCGGCGAACGGGUGAGUAACACGUGAGCAAUCUGCCCUUAGCUCCGGGAUAGCUCCGGGAAACCGGAAUUAAUACCGGAUAUUACUACGGCCGACAUCUGCUGUGGUGGAAAGGAUUCCGGCUAAGGAUGAGCUCGCGGCCUAUCAGCUAGUUGGUGAGGUAACGGCUCACCAAGGCGACGACGGGUAGCCGGCCUGAGAGGGCGACCGGCCACACUGGGACUGAGACACGGCCCAGACUCCUACGGGAGGCAGCAGUGGGGAAUAUUGCGCAAUGGGCGAAAGCCUGACGCAGCGACGCCGCGUGGGGGAUGAAGGCCUUCGGGUUGUAACCCUUUCAGCAGGGACGAAGCGAAGUGAUGGUACCUGCAGAAGAAGCGCCGGCUAACUACGCGCCAGCAGCCGC
RNAcentral lists this ribosomal RNA (471 nucleotides) under uncultured bacterium. Its description in RNAcentral is "SSU rRNA". It matches the Rfam family "Bacterial small subunit ribosomal RNA", at positions 26 to 518 of the family's 1533-position model. The record is from RNAcentral.